RNAcentral lists this ribosomal RNA (269 nucleotides) under uncultured archaeon. RNAcentral describes it as "partial 16S ribosomal RNA". It matches the Rfam family "Archaeal small subunit ribosomal RNA", at positions 477 to 747 of the family's 1478-position model. The record is from RNAcentral.
CUGCAGCUCAAGUGGUGACCACUAUUAUUGGGCCUAAAACGUUCGUAGCCGGUUUGGUAAAUGCCUGGGUAAAUCGUGUAGCUUAACUAUACGAAUUCCGGGUAGACUGCCAAACUUGAGACCGGGAGAAGCUAGAGGUACUCCUGGGGUAGAGGUGAAAUUCUGUAAUCCUGGGGGACCACCAGUGGCGAAGGCGUCUAGCUAGAACGGGUCUGACGGUGAGGAACGAAGCCCUGGGGCGCAAACCGGAUUAGAUACCCGAGUAGUCC